This 231-nucleotide ribosomal RNA is filed under the name uncultured bacterium. RNAcentral describes it as "partial 16S ribosomal RNA". It matches the Rfam family "Bacterial small subunit ribosomal RNA", at positions 103 to 334 of the family's 1533-position model. The record is from RNAcentral.
CGGGUGCGGAACACGUACGCAACCUUCCUUUAACUGGAGAAUAGCCCCUCGAAAGAGGGAUUAAUACUCCGUAACAUGAUGAUAAGGCAUCUUAUUAUUAUUAUAGCUCCGGCGGUUAGAGAUGGGCGUGCGCCUGAUUAGGUAGUUGGCGGGGUAACGGCCCACCAAGCCUGCGAUCAGUAACUGGUGUGAGAGCACGACCAGUCACACGGGCACUGAGACACGGGCCCG